AUUGAACGCUGGCGGCAUGCUUUACACAUGCAAGUCGAACGGUAACAGGCCUUCGGGUGCUGACGAGUGGCGAACGGGUGAGUAAUGCAUCGGAACGUACCCAGAGGCGGGGGAUAACGCAGCGAAAGCUGUGCUAAUACCGCAUGUGAUCUGAGGAUGAAAGCGGGGGACCGAGCAGCAAUGUUUGGCCUCGCGCCUUUGGAGCGGCCGAUGUCGGAUUAGCUAGUUGGUGGGGUAAAGGCCUACCAAGGCGACGAUCCGUAGCUGGUCUGAGAGGACGACCAGCCACACUGGGACUGAGACACGGCCCAGACUCCUACGGGAGGCAGCAGUGGGGAAUUUUGGACAAUGGGCGCAAGCCUGAUCCAGCAAUGCCGCGUGCGGGAAGAAGGCCUUCGGGUUGUAAACCGCUUUUGGCAGGAACGAAACGGUGUCGCUAAUACCGGGCGCUAAUGACGGUACCUGCAGAAUAAGCACCGGCUAACUACGUG
This 491-nucleotide ribosomal RNA is filed under the name uncultured bacterium. Its description in RNAcentral is "partial 16S ribosomal RNA". It matches the Rfam family "Bacterial small subunit ribosomal RNA", at positions 29 to 507 of the family's 1533-position model. The record is from RNAcentral.